GCCCCCAUCGUCUAGAGGCCUAGGACACUUCCUUUUCACGGAAGCAACGGGGAUUCGAAUUCCCCUGGGGGUA
Molecule: transfer RNA, 73 nt
Filed under: Cyanidium caldarium
Lineage: Eukaryota; Rhodophyta; Bangiophyceae; Cyanidiales; Cyanidiaceae
Description: tRNA-Glu
Rfam family: tRNA
About the family: Transfer RNA (tRNA) molecules are approximately 80 nucleotides in length.
Source: RNAcentral